GUUCUUUGUCGGAUAGCUACCCCGACUAGGUCGUGGGAGGAAAGUCCGAACACCGCCAAUUUUUGGCAGAGGCAGUGGCUAACGGCCACGCUUUUCCCGAGAAAUCGGGAAGAGACGGACAGUGCAACAGAAAAUAUACAGCCCGCUUACCCCUAAAGGGAAAGCGAGUAAUGGUGAAAUCGUGCGUCCCGAUAAAUCGGGAUUAAAUCCCGAUUUAUCGGGAUGAAGUAAGAGCGCACGCGCCGACUUCGCGAGGAGUCGGAGUUGAAAACACCUGCCCGGUGCAAGUCGUUAACGACGCUCGAGGCCGGAGAGCAAUCCCGGUCCCAGACAGAUGGCUAUCCCCAGCUCCACUUUUUAAAAAGUGGAGCUGGGACAGAAUUCGGCUUAUAGACAAAGAAUAAAU
RNAcentral lists this RNase P RNA (406 nucleotides) under Candidatus Giovannonibacteria bacterium. Its description in RNAcentral is "RNase P RNA component class A". It matches the Rfam family "Bacterial RNase P class A". Rfam says of the family: Ribonuclease P (RNase P) is a ubiquitous endoribonuclease, found in archaea, bacteria and eukarya as well as chloroplasts and mitochondria. Its best characterised activity is the generation of mature 5'-ends of tRNAs by cleaving the 5'-leader elements of precursor-tRNAs. The record is from RNAcentral. Lineage: Bacteria; Candidatus Giovannoniibacteriota.